GGCGCGCGAAAAAAGCUCAGGCCGAGGGAAGGAUGAUCACCACGAUAGGAGCAGCAGAGACCGGGAAAAGGACAGGAGAACCGGAAGGUGAUCGGAACCUGCUGGGCACUCAUCCUUUGCCUGAACCUGCUGUGCACUCAUAUGAGCUGGGCUGCCUAAAUGCGCCAUACAUGGGCUCCACGAACCUGUUUGUAAUGGGGUCAGCUGGGGAACUAUUUUUUGUAGUUUCAAGAACAGAAGUAGUGUUAUCAAACAUCUAAUGUUGACUUUGAAUGAUUGAAAUGCUGCCCAUUGUCGUCAUGGACCGUGGCUUAAUGAACUUGGAUGGCAUCGGUUGCAAGUUUAUGGAUUUGCUGUGCUAA
RNAcentral lists this long non-coding RNA (362 nucleotides) under Triticum aestivum (bread wheat). Its description in RNAcentral is "long non-coding RNA (TAES_LNC010048)". Lineage: Eukaryota; Viridiplantae; Streptophyta; Magnoliopsida; Poales; Poaceae. The record is from RNAcentral.